RNAcentral lists this ribosomal RNA (752 nucleotides) under Acinetobacter sp. WTPout_52. RNAcentral describes it as "bacterial SSU rRNA". It matches the Rfam family "Bacterial small subunit ribosomal RNA", at positions 71 to 818 of the family's 1533-position model. The record is from RNAcentral. Lineage: Bacteria; Pseudomonadati; Pseudomonadota; Gammaproteobacteria; Moraxellales; Moraxellaceae.
AUGAGGUGCUUGCACCUUAUCUUAGCGGCGGACGGGUGAGUAAUGCUUAGGAAUCUACCUAUUAGUGGGGGACAACGUUUCGAAAGGAACGCUAAUACCGCAUACGUCCUACGGGAGAAAGCAGGGGACCUUCGGGCCUUGCGCUAAUAGAUGAGCCUAAGUCGGAUUAGCUAGUUGGUGGGGUAAAGGCCUACCAAGGCGACGAUCUGUAGCGGGUCUGAGAGGAUGAUCCGCCACACUGGGACUGAGACACGGCCCAGACUCCUACGGGAGGCAGCAGUGGGGAAUAUUGGACAAUGGGGGGAACCCUGAUCCAGCCAUGCCGCGUGUGUGAAGAAGGCCUUUUGGUUGUAAAGCACUUUAAGCGGGGAGGAGGCUACUUAGAUUAAUACUCUAGGAUAGUGGACGUUACCCGCAGAAUAAGCACCGGCUAACUCUGUGCCAGCAGCCGCGGUAAUACAGAGGGUGCGAGCGUUAAUCGGAUUUACUGGGCGUAAAGCGUGCGUAGGUGGUCUUUUAAGUCGGAUGUGAAAUCCCUGAGCUUAACUUAGGAAUUGCAUUCGAUACUGGGAGACUAGAGUAUGGGAGAGGAUGGUAGAAUUCCAGGUGUAGCGGUGAAAUGCGUAGAGAUCUGGAGGAAUACCGAUGGCGAAGGCAGCCAUCUGGCCUAAUACUGACACUGAGGCACGAAAGCAUGGGGAGCAAACAGGAUUAGAUACCCUGGUAGUCCAUGCCGUAAACGAUGUCUACUA